AACGUAGGUCACAAGCGUUGUCCGGAAUUACUGGGUGUAAAGGGAGCGCAGGCGGGAAGACAAGUUGGAAGUGAAAUCUAUGGGCUCAACCCAUAAACUGCUUUCAAAACUGUUUUUCUUGAGUAGUGCAGAGGUAGGCGGAAUUCCCGGUGUAGCGGUGGAAUGCGUAGAUAUCGGGAGGAACACCAGUGGCGAAGGCGGCCUACUGGGCACCAACUGACGCUGAGGCUCGAAAGUGUGGGUAGCAAACAGGAUUAGAUACCCUGGUAGUUGACUGACU
This 280-nucleotide ribosomal RNA is filed under the name Faecalibacterium prausnitzii. Its description in RNAcentral is "partial 16S ribosomal RNA". It matches the Rfam family "Bacterial small subunit ribosomal RNA", at positions 524 to 801 of the family's 1533-position model. The record is from RNAcentral. Lineage: Bacteria; Bacillati; Bacillota; Clostridia; Eubacteriales; Oscillospiraceae.